GCAGUAUUUCUCACUCUUCAGUCCUCUCUUCAUGACAGUAGACUUGUUUUGUCAUUGGAGCCCCAGUUAGAGACAGAUAUGAUACCUGCAGUGAUAUUGAUGAUCCUGUUCUGGAGCCCAGAUCUCCAGGCUCAAAGCGUCAGUCCACCAGCUGAACUCUCAGUCAGACUGGUGAAUGGGACCACUUCCUGUUCUGGGACAGUGGAAGUCUUCUACAGAGGAGAGUGGUUGGGUCUAUGUACUAGUGGGUUGUGGAGCAUAAUGGGAGAGACGUGGUUGUGGGACAUGAGAGAGACCAAGGUUGUGUGUAGAGAGCUGAAUUGUGGGAAUCCUGUAUCUGUAUCUAGAGGACCUCUGAUUGAAGAUGGAAGAAGAGGAGUCACACUAUAUAGGUGUAGUGGAGAUGAGUCUUCUAUUGGACAGUGUGACAUCACAGGAGGACCUGGUUUCUGUGAUGGUGGAUAUUAUCAUCAUGUGACCUGUUCAGAGUCUGUGCGGCUUGUGGAUGGAGCUGGUCUCUGCUCUGGGAGAGUGGAGGUGAAGUCCAAUCAGUCCUGGGCCUCAGUGUGUGAAGCUGACUUUGACCGGCAGGAUGCAGAGGUAGUCUGUAGGGAUGUUGGCUGUGGGGCUCCUGCAGCUCUAC
Long non-coding RNA from Oncorhynchus nerka (sockeye salmon), 643 nucleotides. RefSeq lists it as uncharacterized. The transcript has 4 exons. The record is from RefSeq and is a predicted model, not a curated record. Lineage: Eukaryota; Metazoa; Chordata; Actinopteri; Salmoniformes; Salmonidae.